This 301-nucleotide ribosomal RNA is filed under the name uncultured bacterium. Its description in RNAcentral is "partial 16S ribosomal RNA". It matches the Rfam family "Bacterial small subunit ribosomal RNA", at positions 509 to 808 of the family's 1533-position model. The record is from RNAcentral.
CAGCAGCCGCGGUAAUACGGAGGGUGCAAGCGUUAAUCGGAAUUACUGGGCGUAAAGCGCACGCAGGCGGUCUGACAAGUCAGAUGUGAAAUCCCCGGGCUUAACCUGGGAACUGCAUUUGAAACUGUCAGGCUGGAGUCUUGUAGAGGGGGGUAGAAUUCCAGGUGUAGCGGUGAAAUGCGUAGAGAUCUGGAGGAAUACCGGUGGCGAAGGCGGCCCCCUGGACAAAGACUGACGCUCAGGUGCGAAAGCGUGGGGAGCAAACAGGAUUAGAUACCCCGGUAGUCCCUGUCUCUUUACC